RNAcentral lists this ribosomal RNA (429 nucleotides) under bacterium. RNAcentral's name for it is "partial 16S ribosomal RNA". It matches the Rfam family "Bacterial small subunit ribosomal RNA", at positions 355 to 776 of the family's 1533-position model. The record is from RNAcentral.
UAUGGAAUCUUCCACAAUGGACGCAAGUCUGAUGGAGCAACGCCGCGUGAGUGAAGAAGGUUUUCGGAUCGUAAAGCUCUGUUGUUGGUGAAGAAGGAUAGAGGCAGUAACUGGUCUUUAUUUGACGGUAAUCAACCAGAAAGUCACGGCUAACUACGUGCCAGCAGCCGCGGUAAUACGUAGGUGGCAAGCGUUGUCCGGAUUUAUUGGGCGUAAAGCGAGCGCAGGCGGAAUGAUAAGUCUGAUGUGAAAGCCCACGGCUCAACCGUGGAACUGCAUCGGAAACUGUCAUUCUUGAGUGCAGAAGAGGAGAGUGGAAUUCCAUGUGUAGCGGUGGAAUGCGUAGAUAUAUGGAAGAACACCAGUGGCGAAGGCGGCUCUCUGGUCUGCAACUGACGCUGAGGCUCGAAAGCAUGGGUAGCGAACAGG